UUAUAUAUAUAACAUUUGAGUUUAAAUAGGUUUAAGUAAGAUUUUUUUUUUUUUGAGAGAUAGGUAGCACGUUACUCGCUUCGUCUAUUUUAUUUAGAAAUAAACUUAGCUGAAAAUGUGAAUCAACUAGGAUUCGAACUUGGGAUCUCGGAUACCAACCAUCGAGUCCUUUUCCACUUGCUCUCUUUGCCACUUGCUCUAGAGAUGGUCGAUUGGUAGGUUUAAGUAAGAUUAUUGAUUUUA
This 243-nucleotide long non-coding RNA is filed under the name Ananas comosus (pineapple). RNAcentral's name for it is "long non-coding RNA (ACOM_LNC033873)". The record is from RNAcentral. Lineage: Eukaryota; Viridiplantae; Streptophyta; Magnoliopsida; Poales; Bromeliaceae.